This 253-nucleotide ribosomal RNA is filed under the name uncultured bacterium. RNAcentral's name for it is "partial 16S ribosomal RNA". It matches the Rfam family "Bacterial small subunit ribosomal RNA", at positions 524 to 776 of the family's 1533-position model. The record is from RNAcentral.
UACGUAGGCAGCGAGCGUUGUUCGGAGUUACUGGGCGUAAGGAGUGCGUAGGCGGUUUUCUAAGUUUGGUGUGAAAUCUCCCGGCUUAACUGGGAGGGUGCGCCGAAAACUGGAAGGCUUGAGUAUGGGAGAGGUAAGCGGAAUUCCUGGUGUAGCGGUGAAAUGCGUAGAUAUCAGGAGGAACACCUGCGGUGUAGACGGCUUACUGGACCAUAACCGACGCUGAGGCACGAAAGCGUGGGUAGCAAACAGG